This is a long non-coding RNA of Orcinus orca (killer whale), 607 nucleotides long. RefSeq lists it as uncharacterized. The record is from RefSeq and is a predicted model, not a curated record. NCBI's taxonomy places the organism in Eukaryota, Metazoa, Chordata, Mammalia, Artiodactyla, Delphinidae. The transcript is spliced from 3 exons.
AAGCAGAACCACGUUUGAGGAAUAAGGAACCAGCUGUUGAAUCACGAGCCGAUCAGUACACCCCACCCCCGUUCUUCCCCCGUAGGAAAGAAGUCGUUUGACCAGGUUCUGUGCAUCAUGCUGAAUAUAGAAAAAUAAAUGAGAUAAGGUCCCUAUCUUCAAGGAAUUUAGACUCUAUGGCAACAGUGUACCUCCUUGUCCUGAAAGGCUGGAAAGCUAAAAACCACAUUUCCCAGACCACUUGCAGUUGAAGCUCCAAAUGCAAUGUGAGUUCUGACAAACGGAUCCAUUUUAUGCAAAGUUUGGAAGAUAAAAGUGAGGAAGGGCUUCCCUGGUGGCGCAGUGGUUGGGAGUCCGCCUGCCGAUGCAGGGCACACGGGUUCGUGCCCCGGUCCGGGAAGAUCCCACAUGCUGCAGAGCGGCUGGGCCCGUGAGCCAUGGCCGCUGAGCCUGCGCGUCCAGAGCCUGUGCUCCGCAACGGGAGAGGCCACAACAGUGAGAGGCCCGCGUACCACAAAAAAAAAAAAAAAAAAAGUGAGGAAGGGGCCAGGUUUCUGGCUGCUUCUGCUAUUUCUUCCAGCAAGCACAGUCAUAAACACGUGGAGUG